ACUGCGAUUUGUUUAUAUAUUUGGUGUGCAACAGGGUUUUGCAUUGAAAAUUAUUUAUGGUUCUUUUUUGUUUACUUUCAGUUCUUACGUAAACCUGCGAAACAACGUAUACUAGUCCAUGAACUUUGUAUAAUGUUAGACAACUGGGUGAAUGUAUGCGAUGCACUGUAUCACUGCUACAAAUAGGUCAAUAGAUUUUGAAUGGGAUUUCAGCGAAGGCAUGGUUAUUUUUAAAUGCAUGGUUGACAAACCUGGAAAUGGAAUUUUUAUUUACAAUUCAAAGGAUGAUACUGUAGCAUUUUGUCAUGUUGUUUUUACAAUUUCUUGUGAAAGUGUAGCUGGUUAUGGUCAUAUUGACUACGACAACAGUACAAAUACAACGGUAUUUGAAGUAAAAGUCGAAGAAACGGAUGUUAACAGAAAUUGGACCUGUGCAAAUGGACGCGGCAAAAAAGAUCCUAGAUUUUCGGUGUCUGUUGAAAUACCUAAAUCAAAGACAUUAAAAAUGAAAG
Mytilus californianus (California mussel) is the source of this 512-nucleotide long non-coding RNA. RefSeq lists it as uncharacterized. Lineage: Eukaryota; Metazoa; Mollusca; Bivalvia; Mytilida; Mytilidae. The transcript is spliced from 3 exons. The record is from RefSeq and is a predicted model, not a curated record.